This is a long non-coding RNA of Lactuca sativa (garden lettuce), 1421 nucleotides long. RefSeq lists it as uncharacterized. The record is from RefSeq and is a predicted model, not a curated record. NCBI's taxonomy places the organism in Eukaryota, Viridiplantae, Streptophyta, Magnoliopsida, Asterales, Asteraceae.
ACAACUUCAUAUAUGUCUUUUUGGGAACACGAUGUAAAAGUGAAAACUGAGAAUGGAACAUACCUGCGACAACGAUGGAGGCCCUUGUGCAGAAUCAAACGGAAAAUUGUGGAAAGAGGAUCAAGUUGAUGCGGUUACAGAACGAAAGCCGGUAAGUUUGGGCUAAUAUUGAACCGAUGAUUGGCUUCUUAAUACACGUAUUGAAUAGGUAAAAAAAAUUAGGGCUUUUUUUAUGAAGAUGAAAUCUGCUUGAAGACAAUAGGAAAAAUUUCUCCUUAUUCAAUCAUGAGGUCAUAAGACCUCUUUAUGUAUGUGAAAAAAUUUAAGAUCCCGAAUAUCUCUCUGAAAAUCUUAAGAUACCGCUAGUGUAAUUCGAAUUUCGUAUUUCAUCAUACCCUGAAAGAGGAGGAUAUGUUAUAUAUUUUUGAUUAAUUAAUAAUUAUUAUUAAAUUUUAAAUUCUUUGUGUUUAAAAAUAUGGAUGUUGUAGAGGCGACAUUACCUAAAGUUCAGAAAUUAAGUAACAUGAUUACCAAUAAAGACCAGGAGGUUGAUACUGCACCCACUAAUAACAAACCAAGAUUUUCUGAUGCGAUUCAGAUAAGUCAUGAAGACGGUUUUAAUGAAAAAAUGGAGGAGUGUCUACAGAUGACAUCACCGGAUUCAGACAUCUAUAAUAAACCCAAUCUUAAUAAAACUCUAGAAGUGCUUCUAAAUACAACAGAUGUUGAGACUGUGUAAAGUUUCAGCAAUGAAAACAAUGAUGCUAUCUCAUCUUCUAAUCAGGAUGAAGAUGCUGCAAACUCCAAAAUCCUUUAGUCAUAGAAGAUUGGUUCCAUUCUUGGUGAGUGUUUCAUGGGAUGAUUCAGGUGCUUCAAAAAGCAACCAAAUUUCAUAACCUUAGAACACUUCAGAGCAAAACCAACAACCUCCAACACCAUCUUUGAUUAAUCAAAGUAUUAUUGUGGAUGAAUCUCAAAACACUGCAAAUGAGAAAAUAGAUUCUCCUACUUCUACAUUGACUCCAAUUGAAACAUCACGAUUCAUAUUUUUAUUCAAUUGUAUUUUUAAUUUAUUUCUUUCAUAAUUUGGAUGCAUAUAUCUGGUUUAACCUAUUUUUUUUAGAUAUGUUUAAUCUUUCAGGUUUUGACAAGGUUUCAAACAACUGGUAUACUUGGAACCAACAACCAUGAUAAGUAGUUCCUUAUUCUUCCACCACCAUCCAUAUUGUUGGUUUACAAUUUACGUAAUCAUCAAUUCAGUUCACUUUUGAGUUUUAUUGUGAAAAAAAAAAAAGUUUGUAACCCGAUUAUGUCAUUACCCCUUGAAAUAUUUACCCAAUUUCGCUUAUUUCUACGAAUUUGCACAAAAAUUGACACUCUAAUGCAUACUAUUCUUAGUAGUGAACGAAUGCUUAAUUGUC